Gallus gallus (chicken) is the source of this 3020-nucleotide long non-coding RNA. The record is from Ensembl. Lineage: Eukaryota; Metazoa; Chordata; Aves; Galliformes; Phasianidae.
AAUUUCUCCAGCUAAUCCAGUCACAGCCCAUCCUGUCCUCCAAAGUGCUCAGUACUGUUCUUGAGACAGAGUCAUCCACAAGUUUUAUGAGUUCACUCUCUUGGCCGUAUUUCCCUCUCUGGUAGGAGAAUGUCAUGCAAGACAAUGUCACAUUCUUAAUAAACGCAAGAAAUAUCACAUCUGCUGCUUCCUCUUUAUCCACUUGGCUGGUUACUCUGACAAGGAGUGAAAUUAGAAAUGCGUUGAGAGAGCUGGUUCUUGAAUAAUCUAUGCUGGUUCUUUUUAUCAGCCUGUUAUUCCCUAGAUGACUACAAAGUGUUUUCCUCUUCCUGCCAAGGAAAGUGGCUCUGUGUGGACAGCUGAAUGACAAAAGCAGUCGGAAAAAGGAACAUGUGCCUUACCACCAGAAGAGACCGAGUUCUGGGAAGCCGUGAGUCAGAUGAGGAUGUGGUGCCAGGGUGGAUCUGCAGCUGAAGAGUUCAUGGGACCAGGAUGUGGGCCGUGCCAGUGUGCUGAGAACAGAGAUGGGAAAUGAAUCAACAUGCGACAAAGCUUGCUGGAACCAGCAAGGAUCUUCCCAUGGGUGUCAGCAAGCUUUCAUUCAGCUCCUUUCAUAGCAGAUUUUCUGAAAGAGCUGAGCUCCCCUACAGGGGCCAGAUUUGCAAAAGAGCAGAGCAGGUGGGAGGCUUCCGGGGAAAAUCUGUUGAUAAAUGCCAAGCAGAAGCAGCAGGGAUCUGAGCUUGCUGGAGGAGCUGAGGAGAUUUCCUGAAGCAUGCUUUCAGAGAUCGGUUCCCACCUACUUUCCCACCAAGCAAGCUGCCAAGAUGUAAUGGCCACUGAGAGCUGCUCUGCAGGCUUGUUUGGGAGAAUGUGUCCAGCAGAGAUUUGUCUACCCUCAGCUCUGCUAAUACACUCCAGUGCCAGAUCACUUUAUUAAUUAUUCCAGCUCUAAACCACACCAGGUCUGCAGUCACCUUCUGGCUCUACUUACUGCACCAAAGACACUCCAUGCAAGCAGAAUUUCCUCAGCACUUCCUUCAGGCUUAAGAGAAGCAUUCUGCAAGCCUGGAUGUGAUAAACUCUGGCACUACACCGCAUGGAGUUGAAGCCAGAUUCAAGCUUGGCAGGAAUCCGCUUAUCACUAUGGGGCAUGUGAACUACAGAGUCAUUAAGGUUGGAAAAGACCACUAAGAUCAUCUAAUCCAGCUGUCAACCCAUCGCCACCAUGCCCACGUGUAACUUAACUGUGCAGCCAUGGAGUCACUGCUGCUAUUCAGGCUCGAAGCCCCAGUUGAACUGGUUCCUUCCAUGGUGGAGUGCAUAUGAUUUAGAGGAGCUCACCUGCCUUUGCACAGCUCUCCCAGGAGAAGAAAUAAGAGAUUUAGCUAGCUCUGCCCUGCUUGCAGAAAUGAGGUUUGCACCACAUUUCUCUGCUGUGAGUACAAGAGCUCAUGUGCCUGCUUUGUGGAGAAAUGCACUUCUGUGCUUUGGAUGCACUAUUUUCCUUGACCUCUGGACUGGAAACCAUUUGUGUGGGUGGGAGUCCAGCCCAACUCUGUAAUUAGGAAAGCUAUUAAUAAUUAGAGAACUUGUUAUCUACCAGAGGAUGGAGAACUACACAUGCUAUCGCAAAAAUAAAUAAAUAAAUAAAUGAUCACCUCCUGUGGAAAGAGCUGUGGUUUGCACAAUGUUUUGAGAAACGUGUAGCUGAUCUGUCAUAAAUCAUGGAUUUCUUUGUUUGCUACACCAUCUUGGAUCAGUCCUGGCCAGCAAUAGGACAGAGCUGACAUUCUUCUGAAGAAAUAGUGGGAUCAUCUCCGUGUACCAGAAGGAAAACCAUACAAAUUACAGUUUAGAUUCUCUUUAUUUCCCUACUAGCUACCAGAACAUCAAGGAAACGCAACGUCUCAGACUUUUCAAACGUGAUAUCUAGGAGCACAUUUUUUUUUUUUUUUUAAGAAAAAAAGGAAAAAAUCCAGGACUGACACCAGAAACUGAAAAUUUCAGGGAGACAAAAACAACGACAAAAAAAUCCGUGAAGAGCUGUGAGGUUCAUAAUCACAAGGAGCAAUAAUCGCAAGAGAUAGCGAUAAUGGCAACGCUGCUGCCAGAGCCAGCAGGGCAGCAGAGGCUCAGCAGGCAGGGCUUGCCCUGGUGCCCUUCACCGGUCUUUUUUACUGGCUCAUUAAGUAGAACCGUUGCAAAAAGAAGAGAGUCAAAAUUGGUUUCCCCUCAGAAAGUCAGUUUAACAGAAUUAUCCACCCACAAAUAAGUGUCAAAACAAAUCUUUCCACCUUGCCCAGCUUGCUCCGAUAAUGUCAAGUCAGUGCAUCUCAGUCCUCCUGAUAAUUUGUUCCAGUGACAUAAAAUGCUGCUUCACAACUUUGUUUCAUUCCAUUUUAGCUUUAUUACAGACAAAUUAACAUUCAUUUUCGUUUUAAUGGACCUUACCAUUUGCAGCAUUAAUAUUUUGGAUUCAGUAUUUUUAAAGCCAAGUGUGCUCUGACUCUUUUGCUGUUUGCUGUUUCAGCAUUGCUGGAAGUAAAUGUCAAUCAACAUUAUUGCAAAUGGCAUGUUUGUCCAGCACUAAGAUGGGCUGAAAAUUUCAGAAAGAGAGCUUUUUAUUAAAAUCUCAGCUUUUUUUUAACUAUCUGUUCUAUUUUUGUAUAAAACCAGAGUUUGGAAUUUCCAGAACCUGCAGUGUGGUGAAAGAUCUAUUUUUUCCUACCAUUCAUUUUCAAAUGCAGACAGAUGCUAAUGACUUUACUUUCAAAGGUCUUCAAUUAAUUACCAUGUUGAUACUCAUUUAACAAGAUUUUCUGGCCCGCACCUGUUCCCCUGUACAAGACUUUGCCUUCCCACCAUCAUCCUGAUCCCCUCUCUCAGGCUCUCUGCUUGUCACUGCUACAUAAAUUACUUUCCACUUUCAGAGUGAAAGGGCAAACAGUGCUAUCAUGAUAAGAAACCCAAGAACAAGGAGUUGCUUUUGGGGCUUGCAGGGUGCUUUUAGGGCUAGGUAG